Gadus macrocephalus (Pacific cod) is the source of this 379-nucleotide long non-coding RNA. RefSeq lists it as uncharacterized. Lineage: Eukaryota; Metazoa; Chordata; Actinopteri; Gadiformes; Gadidae. The transcript is spliced from 2 exons. The record is from RefSeq and is a predicted model, not a curated record.
CACACACACAGACGUACGCAAGAAGGGUGCACGCACGCAGACGUACGCAAGAAGUGUGCACGCACGCAGACGUACGCAAGAAGUGCGCAAGCAAACAUGGCCGCAGACAUACACAUGAAGUGCGCAUGCACACAGACGAUAUGCAGGAAGCGUGCGUACAUACUUGAUGGAGAGAGAUUUUUCGGCGUUGAUGUCAUCCCGGUGUCCGUGCCUAAAGCUUUAACUCUUGUCUCUGCUUCGUGCGUCAAGACAGGAAUGCGGUUUUUUUUCCUCUUACACACACACACACACACACACACACACACACACACACACACACACACACACACACACACACACACACACACACACACACACACACACACACACACACACACAC